AGAAAACUGGCAUCUCUCUUCUCCACCUUCAUACAGAUAGUGGUGUUUAUGCUCCAGGCAUGCUUUUAAACACACUAAGUCAGUCCUUUAUUGAAGCAGCUGUGAGAAUGCUCCUUGUAGACCUCUACAGAAAAUGUAAUUGGCCUAGAGCCCCAGCUGCUGCACUCUGAAAUCCAUCACCGUAUGUAUAGUGAGAUCAUACUUCCUGAGCUGUUGCCAGUGGAUGACUGAAGUGAUAGGGAUACUAAGGCAGGCCUACUCCUGGGAGACCUGGGACUUCUCUAAUAGGCAAUUUUGGAUUCAGAGAUACCCCAAAGGCCUUGUUCGACAUUCCUUAGGUCACCUAUCUGUGAUGCCUCCACCCAAUUUGCCUGCCCGUGGUGCGCCACGGUCUGUCAGCUCCCCUGCCGCCCCUAGAUUCCUGCGCCUUUUCUCUAACAGGUGAUUACUCUAAUAUAACCCAGUCACAUUGAAUCCUGGCUUGUAGUCUGCUUCUUAAAGGACCCAAAUUAACCCACCCCUUCACCAGAUUUAUUUGACUGGGUCUGCAUGUUUGUAGCCUCCUGUAUAUUUGAGGCCCUUACUGUGACUACUCACUGGCAUUUUCACUUGUGAAUUCCUUCUGACGUCUUUACCCCACGACACUUGAGUGCUUUCUGCAUGACUGUACUGUGAAGUAGUUGGCCACUGGUAAACCAUCUCUAGCUUCACAUUAACAGACCCAGAGAUGCUCUAUCUGCCUCUAAAACACACAGUGGCUGUCCCAUGAGCACUCACUUCUCCGAAUGUAUGCCUCCAGCAGUGCAGGGCAUUAUGGCCCUUCUGAAUAAGUCCAGCAAUUGCCUAUACAGGCUUUAGGAGCCUGAUCUUGAGUGCUGUGGAUCUGAGAAGACUAUUCCAAUCCUAAGCAGUUCCAAGAGGAUUUUCCCUGACCCUCCAGCCCUCUUCUGCCACAAAAUGGCUCUCUAUUCAUUCUAAAAUGGACCAGAAAGCAGAAGGAUUGCCCUUGUUUGAAAAAUAAUGCCCUUGUUUGAGGAGUCCAGGCCAAGUAACUUCAUGCAGAAGGGAAGCUUCACCAUUUGGACAGGAGCUGAGCAGAUGUGACCUCAAUGUCUGCACUGCAUUAAAGCUUCGGUGUAAAUCUGAUGACCUCAUCUCCCCACAGCCUGUGAUUAAUUCUAUUUAUAAAAUACAGCUCAGCAGAUCAAAGUUAAUCCUUUCCAUGCCAAGUGGGGAGUACACAGUGAUGGGUCACUCUGUCAAAGGGUAGGAAACUAAAUCAGGCUGCUGUUCUUCAUCACGGAGUAGGAUACAGGGCUUUUACCUUCAAGAGGAAAGGUUUAAUGACUUUGAAGAACUUGUAAUGCCCAUUUCUUGAUACCCUUAAAUUCUAUUUCAAUUUUUUACUAUCUUCAAAAAAUAUAAAAUUCCUCAAAUAUCAGACUCAUAUUUUUAUUUGUUGCACCAUACAGCUUCCAAUACCUCACCAAUACACACACACACACACACACACACACACACACACGUUUGUAGAUCCCAUGCCUUUGAAAGAACUCUACGAAAAGGUAUGCCACUUAUCCAGCCAGAGGAUCUUGGGUAAGUUACUUAGCCUCCCUUUGUCUCAGUUUCUUCAUCUUUAAAAUGGAGUUAUAGUAGUCCCUGACUCACAGGGUUACUGAGAAGAUCAAAUAAGAUAAUACGUAAAGAACUCAGAACACCGCCUGGACCUUGGUAAAUCUACAUGUGACAGCCGUAGCCUGACCCCACGCCAAGCUCAGGAGCAUGACAUGUACCACAGAGUGUUCCUCUGAACUAGUUCGCAUUUUUAACUGACAUGGAGAUCCAAAAAACCAGUCCUCUUAUAUCCUCAUGUGAGUUAAAAAUCCCUAACACUUUGGAACACAUUCCCCCACCUUGCCCACCAACCCCAUGACAGAGGUAAACUGCCAUUCGGCUUGGGGCAAAAAUGCCAUAUUCCCACUGUGUAUACAUUGUGAGAGGAAAAAUAGCAAGUUCAAACCUUUUCUGCCCCUUAGCAUGGUUCUGUUUGACUAGUCCCCCUAAUUUUCAUUUACAGUUAGGUCUCAGUAUGGUUAAUAUCAGGUCUCUGUAGCAUUAGGCCUCUGCAAUGUUAAUACUGUUUAACGAAAUGAUUCUCAUGAGUACCUUGCAAACUGAAUGCUGAUUUGAGGAUUCUAAUUUCCCAGUGUGUAAAUGAGGUCAUAUUAACAGAAAUAGCUCAAAUUUCACUGGGUCAUGAUUCUACUUGUCCUGAACACUCUCAGCUCCUUACCACCUCCCAUGACCAAGGACUCCAAAAAUCUACAGUGGGUAAGUCACAUGUGCUCUCAGUAAAUCUGUCCCUCUGGGCACUAAACCUCCACUGCAAGGUUCCUCUAGAGUUCCCACCAUGAUUUUCCCCAGUGCUCUGCCCAUGCUCUGGGCCUUUGCUGUGGCCCAGAUGUUUUAAUUCUUUUUAAAGACUAAAAUAGUACUUUUAAUUUCACUCACAGUGCUUGUGCUGUGUCAGGAUUCAGACAUGAGUCCAGUGAGGGGUCAGGGCAGAACCAGAAUCCAAAGGAUAGGCAUGAUUGUGUAGGCACAAAUGCCUCACUUCUGCAGUGACUGAGGUUUUCAUAUUGAGUCUGAGAUGGAUAUUUCCUGGGGGCAACUCAGUUUUCAUGCUAAUGCCUGGCUGGUGUUGAAUUCAGCUUUGUAUCCACAAACUAAAUCUGAUUUAAGCCAGAAUCCUGAAGCUGCAAGAGCAAGAAUCAAUGACCAACACACUGGUCCAUAAACAGAAUCAGGUGUAUCCUUUUCCUUAAGGAGGGAGUUACUAAAUGCUUAAGAGUUAACCAAAGAAUAUAGCACUUUGUAGAAAUCCUAAUCAAAGCCUUUGGCUCAACAAAGCCUUGCCUGCUGCUUGUUAUGAAACCAUCUCAUCCCCUCCACUAGAAAGAACCAAGCAACGUGUAAAACUUUUACUUCCCCUCAUAAAAGUGUAUAACAACAUUCAACCACUUUUACACCUUUUCUUCCUAAUACACGAUAUCCAAAAUGAGUUCAUAGGCAGAAAAAUGCCAUGAGGGGAGUUUGGCUUUUUUUUUACCGGCAAGCUUUUUGGAUGUGACAGCCUAGAGCCUUUCUCACUACCACCAACAGAUGGGACACAAUAUCCACCAAUGAGCCAUUAUGGUCUUUGGUUGUUAUUUUUCCUGUGGUUCAGCUGGAACACAUUCAGAAAAAUAAUACACAUUUCUGGGGCAGGUUUGCAUUAUAAUUUUGGAGUGUAAUCCAGACUUUCCCUUGUCUAUUUCCUACUGCAGCAAAAAUGGAGCCUCUCUCUCUAGUUCCAUUUGGACUUCACUGGGAGGAUGCAACUUGGCAAAACACAGCGAUACUGGGCUGCAAAUGGUUUGUAAAAACAUCAAUGGUCCCACAUGGGAGUCAGUACAUCUACCAUUCGAACUAGAUUGCAUUGGCUCUGUUGGGAGUAAUAUGGGUGCAUGUAUGCAGUUAUCACUAAAAGGCUUUUCAUACUGUGACAAUCAGAUCCUCUGGUGCUCAGAUAUUGCAUUCAUUUUCUAACUCAUUCAUCAUGUGAAUGGAAUGAGGAAAUAAUGGGAUCUGUUCAUCAUACUUAUCCAUCAUUUAGUGAGGACACCACGUUCAGCUUUUUUGGAUGAAAAAAGAAAGAUAAGUAAGAGGCUUAGCACUCCUAACAUCUGACAGUCCUAGCACCUCGUGAGGACAAACGUCACUCAGGAACCAUAUCACAACAGACAAGUCCUUGAGAAAGAGGGAAGAUGAUGAAUCUAGCAGAGCCCACCAGGCAAUUCUGGGCAGGCACACCUUCAAAACCCUCCUUCUUAUUUUACCACAUUCUCGAUAAAUCUUUUAGUUACAUUAAAAUAUUCUCAACUAAAUUAGAAUAAAAUUGUAUAUCUUUUGGCCUUGUAAAUCCACUUUCAAGAAUUUAUUCUUAAAAAAUCAGAAAUGUACAUAAAUACAAAUGUUCAAGAAUGUUCAUUCCUGUGAUAUUUUAAAUAGUGAAAAAUUGGAAAUGACCUAAAUUUCCAGGAAGUUUAGAUUACUUAAAUAGAUUAUAAUAGAGCAUGUAUCAUAAACAAUAUUUGUG
This 4138-nucleotide long non-coding RNA is filed under the name Homo sapiens (human). Its description in RNAcentral is "HSALNT0210568". Lineage: Eukaryota; Metazoa; Chordata; Mammalia; Primates; Hominidae. The record is from RNAcentral.